CCUACGGGGGGCAGCAGUGGGGAAUAUUGGACAAUGGGCGAAAGCCUGAUCCAGCCAUGCCGCGUGUGUGAAGAAGGCCUUCGGGUCGUAAAGCACUUUAAGUUGGGAGGAAGGGCUCAUAGCGAAUACCUGUGAGUUUUGACGUUACCAACAGAAUAAGCACCGGCUAACUUCGUGCCAGCAGCCGCGGUAAUACGAAGGGUGCAAGCGUUAAUCGGAAUUACUGGGCGUAAAGCGCGCGUAGGUGGCUUGAUAAGUUGGAUGUGAAAUCCCCGGGCUC
This 280-nucleotide ribosomal RNA is filed under the name uncultured bacterium. Its description in RNAcentral is "partial 16S ribosomal RNA". It matches the Rfam family "Bacterial small subunit ribosomal RNA", at positions 338 to 610 of the family's 1533-position model. The record is from RNAcentral.